CGGCCGCGGUAUUUUGACCGCGCAAAGGUAGCGCAAUCACUUGUCUUCUAAAUAAAGACCUGUAUGAACGGCUAAACGAGGGCUUAACUGUCUCCCAUUUCCAGUCAGUGAAGUUGAUCUGCCCGUGCAGAAGCGGACAUAAAAAUACAAGACGAGAAGACCCUUUGGAGCUUGAGGUACAAAAUACAGCCACGUCAAACAACUCACUAAAAGCAAGAACUUUGUGGAAAAUGUAGUUUUACCUUCGGUUGGGGCGACCAUGGGGGAAAAACAAGCCUCCAAGUGGACUGGGACAAACUCCCCUAAAACCAAGAGAGACAUCUCUAAGCCACAGAACAUCUGACCAAACAUGAUCCGGCCACUAAAGCCGAUUAGCGGACAAAGUUACCCUAGGGAUAACAGCGCAAUCCUCUCCCAGAGUCCAUAUCGACGAGGGGGUUUACGACCUCGAUGUUGGAUCAGGACACCCUAAUGGUGCAGCCGCUAUUAAAGGUU
RNAcentral lists this ribosomal RNA (495 nucleotides) under Osteochilus hasseltii (silver sharkminnow). RNAcentral describes it as "partial 16S ribosomal RNA". It matches the Rfam family "Bacterial large subunit ribosomal RNA", at positions 1928 to 2573 of the family's 2925-position model. Lineage: Eukaryota; Metazoa; Chordata; Actinopteri; Cypriniformes; Cyprinidae. The record is from RNAcentral.